CCUCGCCGCCCUGUCUCUCUGUCUUUGUCUAUUCGUGUCUCAGCAUCCACAGUCAAGUUAUACGUUCAACAUACGCUGUCUACGAAAUAGCAAUGGCAAUAAUUUAGCCUUGUAGUGUUAUCCCAUGUCCUUCCCCUCCUUUCUCCCUCUCCUUCCCAACCACCACUUGUCCAUGGGACGCCUCAUGUCGUCCUUUUGAAACCAAUGAAGCUAUUAUUGCCCGUUCAAUUCUCAGCAAGUUCCGCGACUCGACAUUUGACAUACGAUACAUAACCCGACCCAAUUCCUCUUUUACCUCCAUUAUAUAUAUAUGCGCGACUUAUCACCUGCUCUCUACUUUCCCCGAAGUCAUCGAAUGAUCCAAGCGCCCUCGCGUCGCUGGAGAGCUUGACGAGAGCGAAUGCUUCCAACAUCCGUGCAUGCGAGCCUUUCCCCUUGCUCUCGUCUAGGUUGAUCUGCGCCAGUCAUCCAUUCUGCCCAACAUGGCUAGACGCCAGCGGCCGCAAGAUCGGGAUCUAAGGCAAGGUUCGGAGAGCUCUAGUGCUGGCAGUUGGCGAUCCCAUGAUACCGCGACGCAGGGGGAUCAUAGUCAUGGCCUAGGCCAGGCUUCUACAAGCCGUCACCCGGUUUCUGUGCGGACUUCGGGCUCCGAUCCAAGAUUGCGACCGAUCGGAAAGCCACGGUCAUCUUCAAGGAGUAAUAGGAGUGCUAGGAGUACUAGGAGUGCCAAUCGCCGAUCAUAUUCCCCCGACGUGUCACCAACCGACACGAAGGUUGGUUUUGGAAGCCAUAGGAAAGCCCUCGCGCUUCUCGGUGCUGCAGGCUACCCCCCGCCAUAUUUCCCGGAUAUCCCUCGCGAGACCCAGCGUAGGCGCUCGCCGUCAUGGACACCACCCUCAUCGUUGGAACCAAGCGCGUUGAAAUCAGCCCGGCCGCCAGGAACGUUUCUGAAUGAUGGUUCCGACCAAGAAACCUCUCCCGCCUUUCCCCCCACAGCCACCGACCACGCUGGCCGCAGUGAUUCCCCCGACAACCCCAUGGAACCCGACCAUCGUAGACCGUCUGCUGCAAGUGCCACGACAAUUAGUAGCCAAGGAUCCAAAGAUAGUACUGCUCGCUUCCACAAGUGCCUGCAGCGUUUCUUUGGAGAGGACCAGGGCAAUAUAUCGGAUUCGGCUCUCACCCAAGCCCCCAAGGACAUUUUGAACGACGUAGACCAACCGGUACACGCGGCCUCGACGGAUCCGGAGCUUGCGCAUUUUGCUGGGACGACAGGCGAGAGUAACGUAGAUAAAGAUAGCCAUGUUAACGCCGUCAGACAUCGCCAUUCUCGGAGUGGGGAUGAGAAAUCAGCAAAUCUGGGAACAGAUUUCCCCCAUAUUUUCAAGCCCUCUGAUCAAGAGAACCCCAAACUAGCCUACAGCCGUUUAAAGGACGGCGCACUCUCCCCGACUAGCUCUUCUCCCACAUUCGCCGCUCGCUCGACCAGCCCUUCACCAAGCGUACGCAGUGGAAAUGGGCAAAGGUCGCCCGGAGGCACAUCCAACAAGCGGUCAUUCUUCACAAAGAUACGACGGCAUCCGAAAGUUCCUAUCGCAAGCUCCCUUCGGCACACGCCUGCUUCAUCGAGGACCGUCCCUGAUGGGAACGCCAAGGGACCAAAGUUUUUAAGACGAGAUGGCUCCCCAGCCAGGCGAGGCCGGAAUGCUAGCUUUGACAGUAUCACGAACACUAAGCCGUGGGAUAUGUCUGAUUCCGACCGCAAGAAAGAAAGCUCUGGGAAAGGAGUAUCCAAGUUCCGUCACCCGCGGUUCCCCUUUAGUCACGAUGGAGGACAAAAGUAUCAAGACAAAAAUCAACGUAGUAUUUUCGAUGAAGAUCGGGUCUGGAAGCUAGACACUGAUCUGUCAAACCUCUCUGGUAUUGUCGCGCAACCCCGUUUAUCACCUACUGAUGUAUACACUGGGCCGCCACACCCUGAACUGAAGGAGAAGGAUUUUCAGAAUCCCUUCGAGGUUUCCAUUGCUGGUGACUGGCACGCUCCUGAGAGUUGGGCAGUGAGAAGAGCACAGGACGAUAUCUUAUCCAAAUUUCCUGGGUUACCUGAUCACAGUAUACCUGUGGAUGAAGAAGGCCGGCCGUACUGUGUCCGCAUAUUCCGCAUCGACUCCACUUUCACGACGCUUUCGGCUACCCUCAACACGACUGUGACGGAGAUAUUAGAAAUGCUGGGCCGAAAAUCAUUCUUGCAAGAUGAACUAAACAAUUACGACAUCGUUUUACGGAAGAAUGAUCUUUCCAGAACACUUGAGUAUGGCGAGAGACCUAUUCUCAUGCAGAAGAGAUUGCUCGAACAUGCAGGAUAUCAACAGUCCGACCGAAUAGCAGAUAUCGGCCGGGAAGAUAAUAGCUACCUUUGUCGCUUCACGUUCUUGCCAACUAAACUGUCGGGUUAUUCCAGUCUUGAUACUGAUUUGGGCAUUAACGAGGGUCAGAAGUUCAGCCAUAUUGACCUGUCCGGUCGGAGUCUCAUUACCCUCCCCAUCACCCUCUAUAAAAGAGCGAGCGAGAUCAUAUCCUUAAAUCUCUCAAGAAAUCUAGCACUGGAUAUCCCGAAAGAUUUUAUCCAAAGCUGCAUCAACCUUCGUGAAAUAAAAUAUAUCGGAAACGAAGCAUGGCGCCUUCCAGCAAGUCUAAGCUUAGCGACACGGCUUACCUAUCUAGAUAUCUCUAACAAUCGGCUUGAGAACCUAGACCAUGCAGAGCUUCACAAUCUCCAUGGACUUAUAAGCUUGAAAAUUACGAAUAAUAAGUUGUCCACGCUACCUGCGUAUUUCGGCGAUUUCCCUUUGUUACGAAGCCUGAAUAUCUCGUCCAAUAGUUUCACGUGUUUCCCGGAGUUUUUGUACAAUUUGAGGAACUUGGUCGACCUGGAUAUCAGUUUUAACAAAAUUACAGAAUUGUCGAAUAUCGGACGACUCAAGACGCUGGAGCGGUUGUGGGUGACUAACAACGGACUACAUGGGCCGCUAGGCGAGACCUUCAGAGAUCUUGUGAAUCUCAAAGAGAUAGACGCCCGAUUCAACAGCAUUACUAGUAUAGAUAACAUCACUCAGCUUCCUCGCUUGGAGCACUUGAUGGUUGGACAUAAUACCGUGUCCACAUUUUCAGGGUUCUUUCCAAAGCUACGCACUUUCACCCUUGACCAUUGUCCCGUGACGGAGUUUGAUAUAACCAACCCAGUUCCGACUCUCACGUCUCUCAACAUCGCGUCCGCUAAACUUGUUCAAUUCAAGGACUCCCUCUUCACGAAUAUCCCAAACCUUACCAAACUCAUUCUUAACAAGAACCAUUUCGUUACCCUUUCUCCUUAUAUUGGGACCCUACGAAAACUCGAGCACUUUAGCAUUGCGAAAAACCCGUUAUCAACUCUACCACCGUCCAUAGGUUGUUUGCAAGAGCUGAAGAAUUUGAACCUUCGUGAAUGUAAUCUCAGCAAACUCCCUGCAGAAUUGUGGUACUGUUGUAAACUGGAGACCCUGAAUGUAUCUUCCAACCUCCUCGAUUCCUUUCCGAAAGUCAGUGACU
RNAcentral lists this small RNA (3588 nucleotides) under Histoplasma capsulatum var. duboisii H88. RNAcentral describes it as "Histoplasma capsulatum H88 hypothetical RNA". Lineage: Eukaryota; Fungi; Ascomycota; Eurotiomycetes; Onygenales; Ajellomycetaceae. The record is from RNAcentral.